RNAcentral lists this ribosomal RNA (632 nucleotides) under Escherichia coli. Its description in RNAcentral is "partial 23S ribosomal RNA". It matches the Rfam family "Bacterial large subunit ribosomal RNA", at positions 1273 to 1890 of the family's 2925-position model. RNAcentral also lists the same sequence under 1 other name. The record is from RNAcentral. Lineage: Bacteria; Pseudomonadati; Pseudomonadota; Gammaproteobacteria; Enterobacterales; Enterobacteriaceae.
CUGGAGGUAUCAGAAGUGCGAAUGCUGACAUAAGUAACGAUAAAGCGGGUGAAAAGCCCGCUCGCCGGAAGACCAAGGGUUCCUGUCCAACGUUAAUCGGGGCAGGGUGAGUCGACCCCUAAGGCGAGGCCGAAAGGCGUAGUCGAUGGGAAACAGGUUAAUAUUCCUGUACUUGGUGUUACUGCGAAGGGGGGACGGAGAAGGCUAUGUUGGCCGGGCGACGGUUGUCCCGGUUUAAGCGUGUAGGCUGGUUUUCCAGGCAAAUCCGGAAAAUCAAGGCUGAGGCGUGAUGACGAGGCACUACGGUGCUGAAGCAACAAAUGCCCUGCUUCCAGGAAAAGCCUCUAAGCAUCAGGUAACAUCAAAUCGUACCCCAAACCGACACAGGUGGUCAGGUAGAGAAUACCAAGGCGCUUGAGAGAACUCGGGUGAAGGAACUAGGCAAAAUGGUGCCGUAACUUCGGGAGAAGGCACGCUGAUAUGUAGGUGAAGCGACUUGCUCGUGGAGCUGAAAUCAGUCGAAGAUACCAGCUGGCUGCAACUGUUUAUUAAAAACACAGCACUGUGCAAACACGAAAGUGGACGUAUACGGUGUGACGCCUGCCCGGUGCCGGAAGGUUAAUUGAUGGGGU